RNAcentral lists this ribosomal RNA (467 nucleotides) under uncultured bacterium. RNAcentral's name for it is "SSU rRNA". It matches the Rfam family "Bacterial small subunit ribosomal RNA", at positions 26 to 523 of the family's 1533-position model. The record is from RNAcentral.
AGAAUCAACGCUGGCGGCGUGCCUAACACAUGCAAGUCGCACGAGAAAGGGGACUUCGGUCUCCGAGUACAGUGGCGCACGGGUGAGUAACACGUGAAUCAUCUACCUUCGAGUGUGGAAUAACUGAGAGAAAUCUUAGCUAAUACCGCAUAAUACCUACGGGUCAAAGCAGCAAUGCGCUUGAAGAGGAGUUCGCGGCAGAUUAGUUAGUUGGCGGGGUAAUGGCCCACCAAGACGAUGAUCUGUAUCCGGCCUGAGAGGGCGCACGGACACACUGGAACUGAAACACGGUCCAGACUCCUACGGGAGGCAGCAGUGGGGAAUUUUGCGCAAUGGGGGAAACCCUGACGCAGCAACGCCGCGUGGAGGAUGAAAUAUCUUGGUAUGUAAACUCCUUUCGAUGGGGAAGAUAAUGACGGUACCCAUAGAAGAAGCCCCGGCUAACUUCGCGCCAGCAGCCGCGGUAA